This 505-nucleotide ribosomal RNA is filed under the name uncultured bacterium. RNAcentral's name for it is "partial 16S ribosomal RNA". It matches the Rfam family "Bacterial small subunit ribosomal RNA", at positions 28 to 507 of the family's 1533-position model. The record is from RNAcentral.
GACGAACGCUGGCGGCGUGCCUAAUACAUGCAAGUAGAACGCACAGUUUAUACCGUAGCUUGCUACACCAUAGACUGUGAGUUGCGAACGGGUGAGUAACGCGUAGGUAACCUGCCUGGUAGCGGGGGAUAACUAUUGGAAACGAUAGCUAAUACCGCAUAUUAUUAAUUAUUGCAUGAUAAUUAAUUGAAAGGUGCAAUUGCACCACUACCAGAUGGACCUGCGUUGUAUUAGCUAGUAGGUGAGGUAACGGCUCACCUAGGCGACGAUACAUAGCCGACCUGAGAGGGUGAUCGGCCACACUGGGACUGAGACACGGCCCAGACUCCUACGGGAGGCAGCAGUAGGGAAUCUUCGGCAAUAGACGAAAGUCUGACCGAGCAACGCCGCGUGAGUGAAGAAGGUUUUCGGAUCGUAAAGCUCUGUUGUAAGAGAAGAACGGGUGUGAGAGUGGAAAGUUCACACUGUGACGGUAUCUUACCAGAAAGGGACGGCUAACUACGUG